This 754-nucleotide long non-coding RNA is filed under the name Homo sapiens (human). RNAcentral's name for it is "HSALNT0188560". The record is from RNAcentral. Lineage: Eukaryota; Metazoa; Chordata; Mammalia; Primates; Hominidae.
ACUUACAACCCUUCUCUAGUCUGCUACAAUGGAAUCUUAAACAAGAAAAUUUUAUAUUUUGACUUGCAUCAUUGAGAAAAACACUGCCAACCUGAUCGUGGUUCCUUUGAAGGUGUGUCAUGCAGUCUGUGCACUGCAUAGAGGCUCCUGAAAUCACUGCAGCAGGUGCGAGAGAGGACUCAUGGAGCUUGCAGAUGAGCUAGCCCAGGGAAAGUGAUGAGACUCACACUAGGUUCUUCUAAGUUUUUAGAGUACUUCGUCCACGGCGCCAAGGUGUCUAGGGCAGAGACACCACAACCUCCUAAGGAGUGUUACCCGUGAUGCCAGGUGCAGGUGAAAGAAGUUGGAAUUGAAAAGAGCAGCAAAAAAUGUACUGCUUUUUAGUGCAUAAGAUCAUGAAAAUAUUGCACUGAUAUAAAGAGCUCCUACAAGUCAAUAAAUAGCCCAGUGAAAAACUAGAGAAGGAUAGGAAGAACAAUUCACGAAAGAAGAAGUAAAAAUAAACAGAUGAAAAGAUGCUCAGUUGCACCGAUAAGGAAAUGCAAAUUAAAACAAUAAAACACAGCCAGGCAUGGUGGCUCAUGCCUGUAAUCCCACCGAGGCUGAGGCAGGAGGAUCCAUUGAGGCCAGGAGCUCCAGACCAGCCUGAACAACGUAGCAAGAUCCCACUGAGAGGACUGUUUGAGCCCAGGAGUUCCAGGUUACAGUGAGCUUAAAAGAAGAAUGUGAAGCCAGUGGCCCGCCUGAUGGUGGA